AGCAGAGUAGCUUAGUGGAUGGAGCUUGGGCCUGGGAGUCAGAGGACCUGGGUUCUAAUCCCAACUCUGCCA
This 72-nucleotide transfer RNA is filed under the name Ornithorhynchus anatinus (platypus). It matches the Rfam family "tRNA". From Rfam's summary of the family: Transfer RNA (tRNA) molecules are approximately 80 nucleotides in length. The record is from Rfam by way of RNAcentral. Lineage: Eukaryota; Metazoa; Chordata; Mammalia; Monotremata; Ornithorhynchidae.